Molecule: ribosomal RNA, 440 nt
Filed under: uncultured bacterium
Lineage: Bacteria
Description: partial 16S ribosomal RNA
Rfam family: Bacterial small subunit ribosomal RNA
Source: RNAcentral
CCUACGGGUGGCAGCAGUGGGGGAUAUUCCACAAUGAGGGAAACCCUGAUGCAGCGACGCAGCGUGUAGGAAGACGGUCCUCGGGAUUGUAAGUCACUGUCCCCAGGGACGAAAAUGACGGUACCUGGGGAGGAAGCCCCGGCGAACUACGUUCCAGCAGCGGCGGUAAAACAUAGGGAGCGAGCGGUGGCCGGAAUUACUGGGCGUAAAGGGAUCGUAGGCGGGGAUGUAAGUUGGGUGUAAAAACUACCGGCACAACUGGUAGUAGCACUGAAAACUGGAGCACUUGAGUGAAGUAGAGGUAGGCGGAAUUCCUAGUGAAGCGGUGAAAUGCGUAGAUAUUAGGAGGAACACCAGAGGCGAAGGCGGCCUGCUGGGCUUUUACUGACGCUGAGGCUCGAAAGUGUGGGGAGCAAACAGGAUUAGAUACCCUGGUAGUC